This is a non-coding RNA of Trichonephila clavipes, 73 nucleotides long. The record is from the annotation of a GenBank genome assembly. Lineage: Eukaryota; Metazoa; Arthropoda; Arachnida; Araneae; Nephilidae.
GUCUCUGUAGCAACAUGGAUAGUGCGUUGGAUUUCUAAUCCAAAUGUUGCGGGUUAGAAUCCCACCGGGGAUG